This 399-nucleotide long non-coding RNA is filed under the name Brassica napus (rape). RNAcentral describes it as "long non-coding RNA (BNAP_LNC004645)". The record is from RNAcentral. Lineage: Eukaryota; Viridiplantae; Streptophyta; Magnoliopsida; Brassicales; Brassicaceae.
AGAUAAUGAACCCAACGGACUCGGGACAAUACGGGAACGCGCCUCUGGUGUUGGCCUGUUGGUACAAGAACGUCAAGCUUAUUCCAUGGAUGCUAACAGCUUGAACAAGGAAUGAUAAUCCCGUAUAGGUUUCAGGUCAAUUGUGUGUUGAGUUAUCUUGUAUUUGAGGUCGAAUUUUAGGAGGUUAAAGGGUUGGUUCACUUCGUGUCGUGGAGUGAAUUCAAUUCCAUUGUGGUUAAAAAAUACAUGAUGCACGUUAGGUUACGUUGGAUCCAACUUAGUGAUUCAGGGUGGAACUAGACUGCUUCAUUGUAUUAUGUGGUAUAAUCUCUAGUGGGUUAAAUCUUUGUACCAAUGCUUUGUGAAAUGAAUGUUGAAGUUGAGCCAAAAAAAAAAAAA